This 253-nucleotide ribosomal RNA is filed under the name uncultured bacterium. Its description in RNAcentral is "partial 16S ribosomal RNA". It matches the Rfam family "Bacterial small subunit ribosomal RNA", at positions 524 to 776 of the family's 1533-position model. The record is from RNAcentral.
UACGUAGGGUGCGAGCGUUGUCCGGAAUUAUUGGGCGUAAAGAGCUUGUAGGCGGUCUGUCGCGUCUGCUGUGAAAAUCCGGGGCUCAACCCCGGACUUGCAGUGGGUACGGGCAGACUAGAGUGUGGUAGGGGAGACUGGAAUUCCUGGUGUAGCGGUGAAAUGCGCAGAUAUCAGGAGGAACACCGAUGGCGAAGGCAGGUCUCUGGGCCACUACUGACGCUGAUGCGCGAAAGCUAGGGUAGCAAACAGG